GGGCACUCUAGCGAGACUGCCGGUAAUAACGGAGGAAGGUGGGAUGACGUCAAAUCAUCAUGCCCCUUAUGACCUGGGCUACACACGUGCUACAAUGGUUGGUACAACGAGUUGCGAGUCGGUGACGGCGAGCUAAUCUCUUAAAGCCAGUCUCAGUUCGGAUUGUAGGCUGCAACUCGCCUACAUGAAGUCGGAAUCGCUAGUAAUCGCGGAUCAGCAUGCCGCGGUGAAUACGUUCCCGGGCCUU
Molecule: ribosomal RNA, 247 nt
Filed under: uncultured Streptococcus sp.
Lineage: Bacteria; Bacillati; Bacillota; Bacilli; Lactobacillales; Streptococcaceae
Description: partial 16S ribosomal RNA
Rfam family: Bacterial small subunit ribosomal RNA
Source: RNAcentral